RNAcentral lists this long non-coding RNA (485 nucleotides) under Cricetulus griseus (Chinese hamster). Its description in RNAcentral is "lncRNA (ENSCGRG00015036733.1)". Lineage: Eukaryota; Metazoa; Chordata; Mammalia; Rodentia; Cricetidae. The record is from RNAcentral.
AAAGAACAGAGUUUGGAGGUCUGAACAGUUCUAGAGAAGUCAGGACUUGUGCUCACACAGGCUUUGCUUAUGGUGUUGCCCAUCUUGGGAAAUAGAGGCAGAAGGAUCAGAAAUUCAAGACCAUCCUCAGCUACAUAAUGAGUUCAAGGCCAGCCUGGACUACAGAAGACCCUAUCUCAAAAAACAAAAGCAGACAAAAAUGGGCUCUCACCACUUGCCCUCCAGACUCACAGAAGAGCAGCUUUUUUGGGCCUGUGCCCAUCUCCUGAAGCAGAUAAUGAACUCAGCUUCCUCAUCAAAACCUGCCUGUGUUGUUCGGAGGCCCUGCUACUCCUGCCUUCUCAGGCCUAGAAAGUAUCCAGAGUCUGUGAACACUGGUGUCUGAGAUCCAGUAGCAUUCUUGAAAAGAUAGAGUCUCACUAUGUAGCCCUGGUUAGCUGGCCUGGAACUUGCAAUCAGAAAUGAAAAUUCUGAAAAAAAAAAAA